This 486-nucleotide ribosomal RNA is filed under the name uncultured bacterium. Its description in RNAcentral is "partial 16S ribosomal RNA". It matches the Rfam family "Bacterial small subunit ribosomal RNA", at positions 30 to 507 of the family's 1533-position model. The record is from RNAcentral.
AUUGAACGCUGGCGGCAUGCCUUACACAUGUAAGUUGAACGGCAGCACGGGUGCUUGCACCUGGUGGCGAGUGGCGAACGGGUGAGUAAUACAUCGGAACAUGUCCUGUAGUGGGGGAUAGCCCGGCGAAAGCCGGAUUAAUACCGCAUACGAUCUACGGAUGAAAGCGGGGGCCCUUCGGGCCUCGCGCUAUAGGGUUGGCCGAUGGCUGAUUAGCUAGUUGGUGGGGUAAAGGCCUACCAAGGCGACGAUCAGUAGCUGGUCUGAGAGGACGACCAGCCACACUGGGACUGAGACACGGCCCAGACUCCUACGGGAGGCAGCAGUGGGGAAUUUUGGACAAUGGGCGAAAGCCUGAUCCAGCAAUGCCGCGUGUGUGAAGAAGGCCUUCGGGUUGUAAAGCACUUUUGUCCGGAAAGAAAUCCUUGGCCCUAAUACGGUCGGGGGAUGACGGUACCGGAAGAAUAAGCACCGGCUAACUACGUG